Molecule: ribosomal RNA, 259 nt
Filed under: uncultured bacterium
Lineage: Bacteria
Description: partial 16S ribosomal RNA
Rfam family: Bacterial small subunit ribosomal RNA
Source: RNAcentral
GCAAGUCGAGGGGCAGCAUUAUCGAAAGCUUGCUUUUGAUAGAUGGCGACCGGCGCACGGGAGAGUAACGCGUAUGCAACCUACCUUACAUUGGGGGAUAGCGCAGAGAAAUCAGGAUUAAUACCGCAUAAUAUAUUUGAAUCGCAUGGUUUAAAUAUUAAAACUCCGGUGAUGUAAGAUUGGCAUGCGUAGCAUUAGUUAGUUGGUAAGGUAACGGCUUACCAAGACAAUGAUGCUUAGGUGGUCUGAGAGGAUAGUC